GCCUAACACAUGCAAGUCGAACGAAGGCUUCGGCCUUAGUGGCGCACGGGUGCGUAACGCGUGGGAAUCUGCCCUUGGGUUCGGAAUAACAGUUAGAAAUGACUGCUAAUACCGGAUGAUGACGAAAGUCCAAAGAUUUAUCGCCCAGGGAUGAGCCCGCGUAGGAUUAGGUAGUUGGUGGGGUAAAGGCCUACCAAGCCGACGAUCCUUAGCUGGUCUGAGAGGAUGAUCAGCCACACUGGGACUGAGACACGGCCCAGACUCCUACGGGAGGCAGCAGUGGGGAAUAUUGGACAAUGGGCGAAAGCCUGAUCCAGCAAUGCCGCGUGAGUGAUGAAGGCCUUAGGGUCGUAAAGCUCUUUUACCAGGGAUGAUAAUGACAGUACCUGGAGAAUAAGCUCCGGCUAACUCCGUGCCAGCAGCCGCGGUAAUACGGAGGGAGCUAGCGUUGUUCGGAAUUACUGGGCGUAAAGCGCACGUAGGCGGUUAUUCAAGUCAGAGGUGAAAGCCCGGGGCUCAACCCCGAAACUGCCUUUGAAACUAGAUGACUGGAAUCUUGGAGAGGUCAGUGGAAUUCCGAGUGUAGAGGUGAAAUUCGUAGAUAUUCGGAAGAACACCAGUGGCGAAGGCGACUGACUGGACAAGUAUUGACGCUGAGGUGCGAAAGCGUGGGGAGCAAACAGG
This 684-nucleotide ribosomal RNA is filed under the name uncultured Alphaproteobacteria bacterium. Its description in RNAcentral is "bacterial SSU rRNA". It matches the Rfam family "Bacterial small subunit ribosomal RNA", at positions 46 to 776 of the family's 1533-position model. The record is from RNAcentral. Lineage: Bacteria; Pseudomonadati; Pseudomonadota; Alphaproteobacteria.